This 315-nucleotide long non-coding RNA is filed under the name Fukomys damarensis (Damara mole-rat). RNAcentral's name for it is "lncRNA (ENSFDAG00000024721.1)". Lineage: Eukaryota; Metazoa; Chordata; Mammalia; Rodentia; Bathyergidae. The record is from RNAcentral.
CCUCCCGCCCGCCCGGGACGCUGCCGCCUCCUUCCCACAAUGCACCCUGACGCCCGGGGGUGCCCUCUCUUCCCUCAGCCUCCCUCCCCGCCCUCCUUUCCGCCGACUUUUAAGCGGGCGAGCACGCGCACUGAAAAGAGCCUGCCGGGGUGUGGCGAGAUAGAGCCGCGACAAGGCGCAGGCGGACACUGCGCCUGCGCGCAGCCUAACUCGCAGGGUGGGAAUUGCGCAUGCGGACCAGCGCCGGGGACUAGAGCAAGCGAGUCCUGGGUUGUUCUGCCUAGAAUCCCAGCAAGAGGAAGCAGCAGCAGUUAA